GGAAUGUUAGCUCAAUGGAAGAGCUUCGGCGAGAUAGCCGGAUGUUGCAGGUUCGAAUCCUGUACGUUUCU
Molecule: transfer RNA, 71 nt
Filed under: Chryseobacterium vrystaatense
Lineage: Bacteria; Pseudomonadati; Bacteroidota; Flavobacteriia; Flavobacteriales; Weeksellaceae
Description: tRNA_Ser_AGA
Rfam family: tRNA
About the family: Transfer RNA (tRNA) molecules are approximately 80 nucleotides in length.
Source: RNAcentral